AUGGCGGCAGUUGAGGAGAUUGAAGCGGCUGACAUCACCCCACGGCAAGGAGAAGCGUCCGCGCGGGACACGAUCGGGGGCCAUGAGAGUAGGCACGAAGGAGGUUUUGCGAAAUCCUGUGUUGAAGAAACCGAGGAGGGGAGGGUUGCGACGGUGGUGGACGCGGAAGCGGCGGAGGAAGCCUGGGUCGGAGACGAGGGAGCGCCAGCGCUUGCAGACGAACGAGGCGCGAGGGAGGGAGGAGGGCUGCGGUGGGAGGCGGAGGAGGAUCUCGGAAAGCAAAUCGUCAUUGUCCAGCGGCGUCGCCCUCGGCGAGCGGCGGCGGCGGCGGCUGGCCAUCUCGCAAGUCGUCGCCCUCGUACGUAG
RNAcentral lists this ribosomal RNA (366 nucleotides) under Triticum aestivum (bread wheat). RNAcentral describes it as "partial small subunit ribosomal RNA". The record is from RNAcentral. Lineage: Eukaryota; Viridiplantae; Streptophyta; Magnoliopsida; Poales; Poaceae.